UGUCGUUGUCGGAGCAGGGGUUGUCGUAGUCGGAGCUGAUGUUGUUGUAGUUGGAGCAGGUGUUGUGGUUGUAGGAGCAGGGGUUGUGGUUGUUGUAGCCGGGGUUGUUGUAGUGGGAGCCGGUGUUGUUGUUGUCGGAGCCGGAGUUGUUGUUGUCGGAGCCGGAGUUGUUGUAGUGGGAGCCGGUGUUGUCGUGGUUGGUGCCGGGGUUGUCGUAGUAG
Dicentrarchus labrax (European seabass) is the source of this 221-nucleotide long non-coding RNA. RefSeq lists it as uncharacterized. NCBI's taxonomy places the organism in Eukaryota, Metazoa, Chordata, Actinopteri, Moronidae. The record is from RefSeq and is a predicted model, not a curated record. The transcript is spliced from 2 exons.